RNAcentral lists this unclassified non-coding RNA (2074 nucleotides) under Monomorium pharaonis (pharaoh ant). Its description in RNAcentral is "cytochrome P450 4V2-like, transcript variant X3". Lineage: Eukaryota; Metazoa; Arthropoda; Insecta; Hymenoptera; Formicidae. The record is from RNAcentral.
AAUUGACUUUUUAGUUAAAGUCUUAUUUAAUUGUAAAAGAAAUAAAAAAAGAUUAAAAUUUUAUUGUAAUAAAUAUUGUAAUAGUUUUUAUUGUAUUCAAAGUAUGCGCAAGCAACAAUGUCUUUUAGACUUCCGUAAUACUUUUAUUUUUCUAAAUAUGCUAUUUUGAAUUAUACUUCUUGCCUUUGGUUUGUAAUUAGUAAUCACAAACCUUAAUCCGGGCUCAUAUUUGAAAUUUAUCGAUAUUUUAGUAUUUUAUGAGACCGCUAUCCUAAAUUUACCCUUUUAAAUUUUAAUUUUGAUACUUGAUUUUGAAUCAAUUAACAUCUCCAAAAACCGUUUCCAUGUAAAACGCAUUUUCUCUGGGAAAACCGACGAUACAAAAGGAUUCAGUUAUUAGUUGAGACUUGAAAUAAGAUUCAGUUAUAAAUAGCGACCGUAGCUGAUAUAAAAUUCAAAAAUUCUAAAUAUGUGAACUUAAAACUUGUAUCUUAAGAUGGACUUGUAUUCAUUACUAUUUAUCGCGAAAAAAGUUCAAGUAGUAAAACAAGAAAAACAUUAUCAUGAGUUUUUAAUUUAAAUGGCAAUGUGAGACAGAUCUUGGAAUCCCCACUAUCGACUAUCGAUGUAAUUAUACUGACAGAAUUGCCGUGAACAUUGAAAUUAACAGACAAUCGCUUCUGCGCCCGAAUAGGCUACAUUCAUGUGUUAGUGUGAUUAAGUGGAUGAACUUCGCAAUGGCAGAGAAAACAUGUCCAACCAAAAGAGGAAGACCAGCGAUUGGUCUGGGUCAAGCGCUGUCUCUGUUUAACCAGUAGCACAGUGAGCGCUAGACAAAGAUAGAAAUUGACCCGGACCAUAUCUUCUCUUUGUUUUUCUGCCGGACACUUUUCAAGAGCUUUUUGUAGAGAUUACACAGUCCAUGCUUUACGUCGAUGAAGUGGUUGAUGACUGAAGAAAUACGAGACUGUAGGAAAUUAAACCCGAAUAAAACAGUUAUUACUACAAGAAUGUUUAUUAUUAUAUUAUUAUUAUUUAUUCCUGUGGUAUAUUUGGCGUGUCAUUAUUACGUGCACAAUGGACCAUGUGGACGAUUAUUCCAUAAAAUACCAGGACCGUCAGGUUAUCCAAUUAUUGGUAAUUUAUUUUUAGCGCUAUGUUCACGAGGUAAGUUAAAACUUUCAACAUAUUUUUAUAAGUAAACAAAUUUUUCAAAUUAUGUAAAUAUUAAUGUUCCUUUGUGCAUAAUAUUUUUAAUAAUUAUAUAAGAAAGAGAGAGUUUUACAAUAUUUUUUAUUCAUUUUUAUUUUCUGGUUAAUUGUGUUUGUUUUGUUUUCGGUCCAACCAGAAUGCAAACAAAUCAGUUUAAAGUACAUGUAAAAUUCUAAAUUAAACUAAUUGCAAUUUUUCUUUAUUCUUAAUAUUUGAUAUACUUGUACAAAUUUUCAGAGAAGUUUUGGAAAAAUUUAAUUAUUUUUUCUACUCAAUAUUAUCCUAUUUUUAAAGUGUGGAUGUUUUUUUAUGGUCUUGUAUCUAUUCGACAUCCUGAUGACUUGGAGAUAAUACUAAGUAGUACAAAAGACAUCGAUAAGAGUCGAUUGUAUGAAGUAUUACAUCCUUGGUUAGGAAUGGGUCUUCUUACUAGUGGAGAAAUUUGAAGGAAUAUCGUCUUCUUCGGCUAUGUGAGCGGCGGCUCGUAUUUUCAUUCUUUUAAAGCAAACAAAUCUGAUUAAUGAGAAGAGGAGGAGAGAAUAUUCCAUCCGGACAAGACAACAUAAUUAUAAUUAUAAUUAAACUUUACUUAAGGUAAGUUCGUUCACUUUAUUAAUUAUGCAACAUUUCGUCUAAAUGAAUAUAUGUAUCUUCAAAGUUAUUUUAUUGACAGUAUUGAAAGUUUAUAAUUUAUUGUUUUAUAAUAUAAUAUAUAUAUAUUUAAAUGUUUUUAUAUAUGUUUUAUAUUACGUUUUUAAAAAUUUUUGACCGUCGAAUACCUAAUAUUGUUAAAAAAGAACGUAAAAUUAAAUUUGCAUAAGUAAAGAUAGACUGAUUAAUCGCGGGCGAUUUGGCUAAAUAA